RNAcentral lists this small RNA (125 nucleotides) under Winslowiella iniecta. Its description in RNAcentral is "Erwinia iniecta Salmonella enterica Typhi npcRNA 44". It matches the Rfam family "Salmonella enterica Typhi npcRNA 44". Lineage: Bacteria; Pseudomonadati; Pseudomonadota; Gammaproteobacteria; Enterobacterales; Erwiniaceae. The record is from Rfam by way of RNAcentral.
CUUUAACAAUCCGGAACAAGCUGAAAAUUGAAACGACAUGUCGUCUCAUUUCUCCGUAAUAAGAAAUGAAUCACGAUAUGUUCGAGUCUCUCAAAUGCUUACAGCCGCAGUGGAAACACUUGUGG